RNAcentral lists this ribosomal RNA (253 nucleotides) under uncultured bacterium. RNAcentral's name for it is "partial 16S ribosomal RNA". It matches the Rfam family "Bacterial small subunit ribosomal RNA", at positions 524 to 776 of the family's 1533-position model. The record is from RNAcentral.
UACGGAGGGGGCUAGCGUUGUUCGGAAUUACUGGGCGUAAAGCGCACGUAGGCGGCUUUGCAAGUUAGAGGUGAAAGCCCGGGGCUCAACUCCGGAAUUGCCCUUGAAACUAGAGGACUUGGGUACGGGAGAGGUGAGUGGAAUUCCGAGUGUAGAGGUGAAAUUCGUAGAUAUUCGGAAGAACACCAGUGGCGAAGGCGGCUCACUGGCCCGUUACCGACGCUCAGGCGCGACAGCGUGGGGAGCAAACAGG